UACGGAGGGUGCAAGCGUUGUUCGGAAUUACUGGGCGUAAAGGGCGCGUAGGCGGCUUGGUCAGUCCCGUGUGAAAUCCCUCGGCUCAACUGAGGAACUGCACGGGAAACUGCCUGGCUUGAGUUCGGGAGAGGGAAGCGGAAUUCCGGGUGUAGCGGUGAAAUGCGUAGAUAUCCGGAGGAACACCGGUGGCGAAGGCGGCUUCCUGGACCGACACUGACGCUGAGGCGCGAAAGCUAGGGGAGCAAACGGG
Molecule: ribosomal RNA, 253 nt
Filed under: uncultured bacterium
Lineage: Bacteria
Description: partial 16S ribosomal RNA
Rfam family: Bacterial small subunit ribosomal RNA
Source: RNAcentral